This 271-nucleotide ribosomal RNA is filed under the name unidentified marine bacterioplankton. RNAcentral's name for it is "partial 16S ribosomal RNA". It matches the Rfam family "Bacterial small subunit ribosomal RNA", at positions 67 to 339 of the family's 1533-position model. The record is from RNAcentral.
CGGUAGAGAGAAGCUUGCUCCUCUUGAGAGCGGCGGACGGGUGAGUAAUGCCUAGGAAUCUGCCUAGUGGUGGGGGAUAACGUUCGGAAACGGACGCUAAUACCGCAUACGUCCUACGGGAGAAAGCGGGGGGAUCUUCGGACCUCGCGCCAUUAGAUGAGCCUAGGUCGGAUUAGCUAGUUGGUGAGGUAAUGGCUCACCAAGGCGACGAUCCGUAACUGGUCUGAGAGGAUGAUCAGUCACACUGGAACUGAGACACGGUCCAGACUCC